Sapajus apella (tufted capuchin) is the source of this 1173-nucleotide long non-coding RNA. RefSeq lists it as uncharacterized. Lineage: Eukaryota; Metazoa; Chordata; Mammalia; Primates; Cebidae. The record is from RefSeq and is a predicted model, not a curated record. The transcript is spliced from 2 exons.
GCAAUGUGGGCAUUCCAAUAGAGACUUGAGCCAGCAACGUGGACAUUCCUAUAGGGACUUGAGUGAGCAAUGUGGGCAUUGCAAUAGGGACAUGAGAAUGAGCAACGUGAGCAUUCCAAUAGGGACUUGAGUGAGCAACAUGGGCAUUCCAAUAGGGACUUGAGUGAGCAGCGUGGGCAUUCCAGUAGGGACUUGAGUGAGCAAGGUGGGCAUUCCAGUAGGGACUUGAGAAACAAGUAACAUGGGCAUUGCAGUAGGGACUUGAGAGUGAGCAACGUCUGUCUUACAGACCAUAUGAUCUGGCUAGCCUUUCUAUCACAUACUAGUAUCUGAGAUUAAAUAAAUUGAUUUUUUAGUUUUGUUUUAAUACUUUUGUUGUAAAGGCUAUUUUUUGCCUUUUAUCAAAAAUGUAAAAGGUUGAACAACAUGGAAUUAAUGUAAUGGUUGAGUAUGACAAUUUUGUAUGCUUCAGACAAAUAUUUCUUUAGCCUCAUUUGCUAAAUACACUUUUAUUAAGGUAGACUAGGAACUCAGUCACCCCACAGAUUGUUGCUUCAGUACAGAAAUGAGUUCCAGAUUUAAAAGAACAUUUUAUCACUGUUUGUGAUGUUUUAAUAUCCUGACUUUUGUGGUCUUCUUGUUGCAAUAAAUAAAUAUGUCAAUAUAUUUUGUUAUAUAGUAAUAUACAUAAUAAUGUUUUAAUAUGUGUAAGUAUAUAUCAUAUAUUAAAAUAUAUGCAUUCCUGAAUUAAAUAUAUACAUUUAAAUAUAUAUAUUUUGAAAAUCAGUAAUGCUUCCAAAUGUCAGUGACUGCCCUCAGCUUCUGACAGUGCUUAAUCUAGCAGUGUUUAAACAGCAUUGCAGUGUUCCUGCUGCCAAAAUCAUAUAAGGUUCACUUUAGCCAAAGCUAAAUUAGGGGAAGAACUGAAGAUGUUAUCGGAAGUCGGAAAUGGAAACCCCAAAGAGUAUAGCACAGCUAUGAAUGCUGUAAAUGGGAAGACAGACAAGCCUUUACUUGUAGCAGUCAGUAUAGAGAUAAGGUCUUAGACUGGUAGUUUUCUGCUCUGGCUCUGUAUUAGGAUAACUUGGAGAGUUGUUUGUUUUUUUUUAAUUUUAUUUAAACUACUGAAGCCUCAAUCCUACCCCUGGGAAUAUGAUUUAAAUGGGGCCAGGA